AAAGCCAAAGACAGCUUGCAAAGCCUUGGAAGUACAAAAAGUGACUUUCUGUAAUUGGAUUACAUUGUCUCAUAUCUUUUCCCUUUCCUUGCUCAUCUCUUUUCUCUUUCUCAUCUUUUUCUCUUUCUCUCUCGUCGUUUCUUAUCCUUCGUCUUCUUUCUCCCCAUUCUUCUUCCUCCUCCUCAACCUUCUUCUUCUUCGUCUCCCUCUCUUCUCUCUUCCCUGUCUCCCUCUUCUUCUUUCUAAUCUCUUCUUUCCACAGCGGAUUUAGUUUCUUUCAUGAUUUACCAUAUAUAUUGUUUUGGUUUUGCAGAACAAGAGAGAAGGAAGAAUGAAAAAUGAAAACACCAACAUGAAGAUCGAGAAAAAGGAGAGAGGGAAAAAAGGGGUUGUGACUAUUUUAAGUGUAAGAGAUUUCAGCCACCGCUAUUUUGUUUUUAUUUUGUUUUCUUAUAAAUUUAGGGGAGAUUGGGGUUUUAAUUUGUGGCUAAGUUUAAUAGAUUUCUUAUAAAUUUCAGCCUUCAAAUUAUACGGUAGAUUUAGGGUUUUGAUUUUGUAGUUAGGGUUUGCAUUAAUAUCAUUGGGUGAUUGAUGAAAUAUAUUUCCAGGUACAUCAGAGAAAUGUUUAGUUGAAGCAUCGUGUAAAUUCUUGAUAUUUUUGUUUUUUAUUGGUUGAAUAAAGACUCACGAAGGACAACUGAAGAGAAUGAGGUUGUUAUAUGUACAACAGGCUGUUUUGGUGGCUCUGGUUUGAUGGCCUCCGAACAUUUGAAGAUGAACGUUUGGUGCGGAGCUGGCGCGAGCAGAUUGUGCUGUUCUGAACUGCAUGACCCGAAUGUAGGUUCUGAAGUGAUUUCCUCUCGGAUUGAACAUGAUGUAUAGGUCAGGAAUGGUGACGAUGUUAGCUGGUAGUUAAAGGUUAAGUCAAAAGGAAAUCGAAGGUUAGAUGUUAAGGUGGGUUCUGUUAUUGAACCUGAACUUGUGUAUUGACUGGAUAUGAUUGUUUUUGUGAUGCAGUAAUUUAUUCUAUGUUAAUUGGACAUAAGUGUUAGGGGAUAAGUUUUGGAAGUUGAAAGUUAAUACUUGAUGUAUGCAUGGUUGUUAAUUAUGUAACUUGCAGUAGCUUUUUUCCUUGAAUUGAAUGUCCAUAAGAGUGUAUUAUUUUGGACAGGAAGUAUUGACUGCAGAAUGUGUAUGUACAUGUUCGGUGAUGAGGCUGCCCGGAGUCGGGAGUGGCACUGCCCCGAGUGCAAGGCUGACUGAGUAGCACGUCUAUAUCCGGAUAUCUCACUUCAUAUACAUUUUAGGGUGUAAUGAAGAGGUAUGGUUGGCUCUUUAACAUGUGUACCUUGCUGAAAAUCAGGUCAAAUGUUUAUGCUUUAAGUUGAAGUAUGGUUGGCUUUUUGACAUAUAUAUAGUAUUUUUAAUUCAAUUAAACUACAUUGUUGUUUCCUCUGCAAACCUAACUGAACAAUAUUUGGCUAUUUCAUUAAAGCCAAUUACUAUCACAUGUAAUUAUCUCUACACAUUAAGUUUUCCAUGUAGUUUUGGUUCCAUCAGAUUAUGUAUAUCAAUUGAUAACUACAAUGUUUGAUUCUUAUGCUGGUUUCAUAUCCAACCUUAUAGCAUUUUGAACCAGCCAUCAACAAAUAUCAAGCUACUACAUUAGGUUAAUGUCUCAUUCAUAACUCUAAAUAUGUAGCUAUAUUGCAUUGAACAUGGCUAUAUAUUAGAUGUCAAAGCAAUUAAAAUGAAAUUUAGCCAUGUCCAUUUAGAUUAUGUUAAGAACACCUUCAUGCUAGAAUUUUUCAUUUGUACUGUGAACAUUAUUGCCCUGCUUCAUUUGUGAGAAUCAUUCUCAAGAAUGUUAAGAACAAUAGAUUUUACUUGAUUAUUUCUACUGGCAAUGAUAUAUGUCGUCGGUAUAAAUUAUAAAUAUUUAUUUGAGAUACAUUUCAAUUGAGUCAUUAUCAUGUGCGAUUUAAAGAUCGCGGGGUGCUAAUGAUGUCCAGGUCACACUUCGACCCUAUCGGCCCUUUCAGCAACAUUUUGUCAUUUGAAGUUCUACCUAACAACCAUGAAAGUCGAGAAUGUCGUCAACCAUUCCUGAAAUCAGUCGGUGAUCCUGUAAUUCCAUAUGAGUUUGCUUUUGAACAAGGGUUGUAAUUUUAACAACGAGGCGUUCUGAAUUUAUUGUCCUUUUCAGGAUGAACUAAAAGCAGAACUUGAAGAAUUGGAGAGUGCUGAACUAGAAUCAGAAUUUUGCUUCUCUCCUUAAGGCUUUAUAUGUGUGAAAUUAUUGAACAUAAUAGAUGUAUGUAAAAGCUGAACAUGAGUUUCUAUUUAAAGUGAUCUUAUCAGAACAAGAACAAGAAGAAAGGACACAACCGGAGCCAAGGUCACCAAAGCUGCCGCCAAGAAGAAGUGAUUUCACUCCAUGGUUACUGCCCAUGUUGUUGUUUCUUUAGAGUACAAGAGUUAAUAAAUAUUGAUUCACUAUAAAUUAUCAUUAAUUUAAAAAAUAUCUACUCUUAUAUUUCAAUUUGUCCAUGCACUCUAAAAGCGUGUUCAAUUUAUUUAAUAUACUUUAUUUGAAACAA
This is an RNA transcript of Vicia villosa (hairy vetch), 2600 nucleotides long. RefSeq lists it as uncharacterized. Lineage: Eukaryota; Viridiplantae; Streptophyta; Magnoliopsida; Fabales; Fabaceae. The record is from RefSeq and is a predicted model, not a curated record. The transcript has 5 exons.